UGCAAGUCGAACGGUAACGCGGGGCAACCUGGCGACGAGUGGCGAACGGGUGAGUAAUAUAUCGGAACGUGCCCAGUAGUGGGGGAUAGCCCGGCGAAAGCCGGAUUAAUACCGCAUACGACCUAAGGGUGAGAGCGGGGGAUCGCAAGACCUCGCGCUAUUGGAGCGGCCGAUAUCAGAUUAGCUAGUUGGUGGGGUAAAAGCCUACCAAGGCGACGAUCUGUAGCUGGUCUGAGAGGACGACCAGCCACACUGGGACUGAGACACGGCCCAGACUCCUACGGGAGGCAGCAGUGGGGAAUUUUGGACAAUGGACGCAAGUCUGAUCCAGCCAUGCCGCGUGCGGGAAGAAGGCCUUCGGGUUGUAAACCGCUUUUGUCAGGGAAGAAAUCCUUUGAGCUAAUACCUCGGGGGGAUGACGGUACCUGAAGAAUAAGCACCGGCUAACUACGUGCCAGCAGCCGCGGUAAUACGUAGGGUGCGAGCGUUAAUCGGAAUUACUGGGCGUAAAGCGUGCGUAGGUGGUGAGGUAAGUCGGAUGUGAAAUCUCCGGGCUCAACCCGGAAAUGGCAUUGGAAACUACCUUGCUAGAGGAUUUGAGGGGGGAUUGGAAUACUUGGUGUAGCAGUGAAAUGCGUAGAUAUCAAGUGGAACACCAGUGGCGAAGGCGAAUCCCUGGAAAAUACCUGACACUGAGGCACGAAAGCUAGGGGAGCAAACAGGAUUAGAUACCCUGGUAGUCCUAGCCCUAAACGGUGCUUGCUUGCUGUAAGAGGAAUCGACCCCUCUUGUGGCGGAGCUAACGCGUUAAGCAAGCCGCCUGGGAAGUACGGUCGCAAGAUUAAAACUCAAAGAAAUUGACGGGGGCCUGCACAAGCGGUGGAGUAUGUGGCUUAAUUCGAUGCAACGCGAAAAACCUUACCUG
RNAcentral lists this ribosomal RNA (925 nucleotides) under uncultured Burkholderiales bacterium. Its description in RNAcentral is "bacterial SSU rRNA". It matches the Rfam family "Bacterial small subunit ribosomal RNA", at positions 56 to 977 of the family's 1533-position model. Lineage: Bacteria; Pseudomonadati; Pseudomonadota; Betaproteobacteria; Burkholderiales. The record is from RNAcentral.